This 336-nucleotide unclassified non-coding RNA is filed under the name soil metagenome. RNAcentral describes it as "partial contains 5.8S ribosomal RNA, internal transcribed spacer 2, and large subunit ribosomal RNA". The stretch from base 1 to 120 matches the Rfam family "5.8S ribosomal RNA", at positions 35 to 154 of the family's 154-position model. The record is from RNAcentral.
GAUGAAGAACGUAGUGAAAUGCGAUAAGUAAUGUGAAUUGCAGAAUUCAGUGAAUCAUCGAAUCUUUGAACGCACAUUGCGCCCGCCAGUAUUCUGGCGGGCAUGCCUGUUCGAGCGUCAUUUCAACCAUCAAGCCCCCGGCUUGUGUUGGGGACCUGCGGCUGCCGCAGGCCCUGAAAAGCAGUGGCGGGCUCGCUGUCACACCGAGCGUAGUAGCAUACAUCUCGCUCUGGGCGUGCUGUGGGUUCCGGCCGUUAAACCACCUUCAUAACCCAAGGUUGACCUCGGAUCAGGUAGGAAGACCCGCUGAACUUAAGCAUAUCAAUAAGCGGAGGA